RNAcentral lists this ribosomal RNA (1007 nucleotides) under Shigella flexneri. RNAcentral describes it as "partial 23S ribosomal RNA". It matches the Rfam family "Bacterial large subunit ribosomal RNA", at positions 55 to 1102 of the family's 2925-position model. The record is from RNAcentral. Lineage: Bacteria; Pseudomonadati; Pseudomonadota; Gammaproteobacteria; Enterobacterales; Enterobacteriaceae. RNAcentral also lists the same sequence under 1 other name.
GACGUGCUAAUCUGCGAUAAGCGUCGGUAAGGUGAUAUGAACCGUUAUAACCGGCGAUUUCCGAAUGGGGAAACCCAGUGUGAUUCGUCACACUAUCAUUAACUGAAUCCAUAGGUUAAUGAGGCGAACCGGGGGAACUGAAACAUCUAAGUACCCCGAGGAAAAGAAAUCAACCGAGAUUCCCCCAGUAGCGGCGAGCGAACGGGGAGCAGCCCAGAGCCUGAAUCAGUGUGUGUGUUAGUGGAAGCGUCUGGAAAGGCGUGCGAUACAGGGUGACAGCCCCGUACACAAAAAUGCACAUACUGUGAGCUCGAUGAGUAGGGCGGGACACGUGGUAUCCUGUCUGAAUAUGGGGGGACCAUCCUCCAAGGCUAAAUACUCCUGACUGACCGAUAGUGAACCAGUACCGUGAGGGAAAGGCGAAAAGAACCCCGGCGAGGGGAGUGAAAAAGAACCUGAAACCGUGUACGUACAAGCAGUGGGAGCACGCUUAGGCGUGUGACUGCGUACCUUUUGUAUAAUGGGUCAGCGACUUAUAUUCUGUAGCAAGGUUAACCGAAUAGGGGAGCCGAAGGGAAACCGAGUCUUAACUGGGCGUUAAGUUGCAGGGUAUAGACCCGAAACCCGGUGAUCUAGCCAUGGGCAGGUUGAAGGUUGGGUAACACUAACUGGAGGACCGAACCGACUAAUGUUGAAAAAUUAGCGGAUGACUUGUGGCUGGGGGUGAAAGGCCAAUCAAACCGGGAGAUAGCUGGUUCUCCCCGAAAGCUAUUUAGGUAGCGCCUCGUGAAUUCAUCUCCGGGGGUAGAGCACUGUUUCGGCAAGGGGGUCAUCCCGACUUACCAACCCGAUGCAAACUGCGAAUACCGGAGAAUGUUAUCACGGGAGACACACGGCGGGUGCUAACGUCCGUCGUGAAGAGGGAAACAACCCAGACCGCCAGCUAAGGUCCCAAAGUCAUGGUUAAGUGGGAAACGAUGUGGGAAGGCCCAGACAGCCAGGAUGUU